UCAAACCUGAAUGUUUUACAUAUGUGAAUACAUUUUUAUAACUGACUUGUGUUAAAACGCAGCAUUACUUGUAUUAAGUAAACCAAGAAGCGCUGUAUUUCUAAGCAUCUUCUCCUGUUUCUUUCUUUGCAUGACUCUUCUGUCUACAUGGAAUGGUCUGAGUUGUCAAAAUGACAAACAUGCCUAGAGAGCGAUUAAGGGUCAGUUCUCACAUACAUCCAAAAAUAGUAUUAGUCGUUUAAUUCUGGUAAAAUACUGUAUUUCUGAACAUGUUUGUCUGUUUUUUUCUAUUGUACUACUCUUUCUAACUACAUGCCACAUCUGGACAUAUCAACACGAGAAAUACGGUAAGAAAGGUCAGCAGUAAAACACUUUUAUUAUUUACACUUUUUUACAUUUUAUAACUGACUUGUGUUAAAACGCAGCAUUACUUGUUUUGUUUUUGUUCCAACACGAACCGAUAAUUUGGGAAAAUCGCUAUGUCUGAACACGUUCUUUUAUUUCUUCCUUUGCAUGACUCUUCCGUCUGCGUGCGAUGGUUUGAGUCGUCACAAUGACAAACGUGGUUAGAAAGGUCAUGUGUGUAAAGGAAGCAGACUCGCACAGGAGGAACCGGAGAAGGCCGAGAUCCUUUCAACACGCACCACAACCACAGAGGACGCUGACGGAGACACUGGAUACAACUGGGACUUAAGGAGAAACACUAGGGAAGUAGCGAGUGCUCUUGAUGAUAGUUUGAGUGUCGCCAAUGGGGAAUAUGGUAAGACCGCAAUAAAAGACAAGAUUUGUGCAUUAAUUUGUCAAAAAAAAACUAUUCAAGUGCAAAACCACUGUAUGUCCGAAUAUGUUCUGUUUCUUUCUUUGCUUUACUCUUUCUAACUCCUUUACUUUAGCGUCACAACGGUGAAUAAGGCGAUGCAUUAAAAACGGUAACGUUAUUGUAUUUUUCUUUCUUUGCGUGACUCUUUCCAUCUACAUACCAUGGUUUGAGCUGUCAGUGACAAACAAGGUAAGAAAUAUCAUGCGACAACAUAAAAACCUAUAUUAACUGUUUAUUCUAUUUCUCGAUAUGGUCGUCCGUUUCUUUCUUUGCCUGACUGUUUUCAUCCACAUCACACGAUUUAAGCGUCACGAUGAUGAAUACGAUGAUAGAUCAGAUGACAACAUAAAAAACCUGUAUAAACUGUGUUAAAUUGCAACACGAAUCUUUAUUAUUACGAAAAACUUUUUUGGGUUUUUUCCGCAUGCAUGAUUCUUUCCAAAUGCGGUACAUGUCACAGUGGUAAAUUGUACUGUUUAUGCAACCUGUAUGUGUUUCUUCCUUCUGUCGAGCACAAACGAUACUUUAAAGGAUGCUGGUGACAGCUGAGCCUGUUUAAGCUAACUCCACCUGUAACGAAAAAGGCCGUGACACAGAGGCGAGUAAAAUAUUAAGACGGUUUAUUGACACAGAUGAGUUAUGGCAGAAACAUAGCAGGUUAUUAAGAAAUCUCCCUGAAGCUUUGGUUGUGAUUGGCGGUGGCUUGACAUUCUGCCUUGCUUAUUUU
This is a long non-coding RNA of Puntigrus tetrazona (Sumatra barb), 1547 nucleotides long. RefSeq lists it as uncharacterized. NCBI's taxonomy places the organism in Eukaryota, Metazoa, Chordata, Actinopteri, Cypriniformes, Cyprinidae. The transcript is spliced from 4 exons. The record is from RefSeq and is a predicted model, not a curated record.